UGCCAGCCGCCGCGGUAAUACGGAGGAUCCAAGCGUUAUCCGGAUUUAUUGGGUUUAAAGGGUCCGUAGGCGGGUCUUUAAGUCAGUGGUGAAAGCCUGCAGCUUAACUGUAGAAUUGCCAUUGAUACUGAAGGCCUUGAGUGUAGUAGAAGUAGGCGGAAUAUGGCAUGUAGCGGUGAAAUGCAUAGAUAUGCCAUAGAACACCGGUGGCGAAAGCGCUCUACUGGACCAUUACUGACACUCAGAGGCGAAAGCUAGGGUAGCAAAAGGGAUUAGAUA
This 279-nucleotide ribosomal RNA is filed under the name uncultured bacterium. RNAcentral describes it as "partial 16S ribosomal RNA". It matches the Rfam family "Bacterial small subunit ribosomal RNA", at positions 506 to 784 of the family's 1533-position model. The record is from RNAcentral.